Molecule: ribosomal RNA, 468 nt
Filed under: uncultured bacterium
Lineage: Bacteria
Description: partial 16S ribosomal RNA
Rfam family: Bacterial small subunit ribosomal RNA
Source: RNAcentral
GACGAACGCUGGCGGCGUGCUUAACACAUGCAAGUCGAACGGAAAGGCCCUGCUUUUGUGGGGUGCUCGAGUGGCGAACGGGUGAGUAACACGUGAGUAACCUGCCCUUGACUUUGGGAUAACUUCAGGAAACUGGGGCUAAUACCGGAUAGGAGCUCCUGCUGCAUGGUGGGGGUUGGAAAGUUUCGGCGGUUGGGGAUGGACUCGCGGCUUAUCAGCUUGUUGGUGGGGGAGUGGCUUACCAAGGCUUUGACGGGUAGCCGGCCUGAGAGGGUGACCGGCGACAUUGGGACUGAGAUACGGCCCAGACUCCUACGGGAGGCAGCAGUGGGGAAUAUUGCACAAUGGGCGGAAGCCUGAUGCAGCAACGCCGCGUGCGGGAUGACGGCCUUCGGGUUGAAAACCGCUUUCGCCUGUGACGAAGCUGGAGUGACGGUAAUGGGUAAAGAAGCACCGGCUAACUACGUG